Molecule: ribosomal RNA, 484 nt
Filed under: uncultured bacterium
Lineage: Bacteria
Description: partial 16S ribosomal RNA
Rfam family: Bacterial small subunit ribosomal RNA
Source: RNAcentral
AGUGAACGCUGGCGGCGUGCUUAACACAUGCAAGUCGAACGAGAACGGGUUAUAGCUUGCUAUAAUUGUCAGCUAAGUGGCGCACGGGUGAGUAAUGUAUAGGUAAUAUGCCUCUUACUAAGGGAUAACAAAUGGAAACGUUUGCUAAUACCUUAUACUCCUUAUUAACAGAAGUUAAUAAGGGAAAGAUUUAUUGGUAAGAGAUUAGCCUGUAUUGUAUCAGUUAGUUGGUGGGGUAAUGGCUUACCAAGACUAUGACACAUAACUGGUUUGAGAGGAGGAUCAGGCACACUGGAACUGAGACACCGUCCAAACUCCUAAGGGAGGCAGCAGUGGGGAAUAUUGCACAAUGGACGAAAGUCUGAUGCAGCAACGCCGCGUGGAGGAUGACACAUUUCGGUGCGUAAACUCCUUUUAUAUGAGAAGAUAAUGACGGUAUUAUAUGAAUAAGCACCGGCUAACUCCGUGCCAGCCGCCGCGGUAA